RNAcentral lists this ribosomal RNA (208 nucleotides) under uncultured bacterium. RNAcentral's name for it is "partial 16S ribosomal RNA". It matches the Rfam family "Bacterial small subunit ribosomal RNA", at positions 568 to 774 of the family's 1533-position model. The record is from RNAcentral.
CGCGUAGGCGGCUUUUUAAGUCAGGGGUGAAAUCCCGGAGCUCAACUCCGGAACUGCCCUUGAAACUGGAUGGCUAGAAUACUGGAGAGGUGAGUGGAAUUCCGAGUGUAGAGGUGAAAUUCGUAGAUAUUCGGAAGAACACCAGUGGCGAAGGCGACUCACUGGACAGUUAUUGACGCUGAGGUGCGAAAGCGGUGGGGAGCAAACA